GAUGAACGCUGGCGGCGUGCCUAAUACAUGCAAGUCGAGCGAACAGACGAGGAGCUUGCUCCUCUGACGUUAGCGGCGGACGGGUGAGUAACACGUGGAUAACCUACCUAUAAGACUGGGAUAACUUCGGGAAACCGGAGCUAAUACCGGAUAAUAUAUUGAACCGCAUGGUUCAAUAGUGAAAGACGGUUUUGCUGUCACUUAUAGAUGGAUCCGCGCCGCAUUAGCUAGUUGGUAAGGUAACGGCUUACCAAGGCAACGAUGCGUAGCCGACCUGAGAGGGUGAUAGGCCACACUGGAACUGAGACACGGUCAAGACUCCUACGGGAGGCAGCAGUAGGGAAUCUUCCGCAAUGGGCGAAAGCAUGACGGAGCAACGCCGCGUGAGUGAUGAAGGUCUUCGGAUCGUAAAACUCUGUUAUUAGGGAAGAACAAAUGUGUAAGUAACUAUGCACGUCUUGACGGUACCUAAUCAGAAAGCCACGGCUAACUACGUG
Molecule: ribosomal RNA, 497 nt
Filed under: uncultured bacterium
Lineage: Bacteria
Description: partial 16S ribosomal RNA
Rfam family: Bacterial small subunit ribosomal RNA
Source: RNAcentral